UUCCGCGAGUUUUAUCGGGAUCCGGCGUUGCGCGACCGCAUAGCCUCGGACGUGUUGGAGGUGUCGGCGCUCCGGCCGUAGAACCUUCCGUUCACGUACACUAUCAUUAUACGAAAUUAUUACACGCGGCGACGGUAACGACGCGUUCGACGAACGUUCGCGCAAAACCAUCUGCUCGGCUUUUACUACCACUCGCAGGGCAAACGUCAGCGCACGGAACGCGCGUGCCGCUCGACGUGGAAUAUUUCGCCGGUCAAACGUACGACGGCCCGUUACAGAUCGUACGCGAUUCAAUCCAUAGCCGUACGACACGAGACCGCCACGAAGAAUAUUGCGUUUGCGUCCGAUCUGUACGAUUUGGGUCGUGCGGUACGCGCGCCGGACGCCCCCAAGCGGGUGUGGAAGUGUCGCGUUUACGAUGAAUUGUUCGCAGCUCGGAAAUCGUAGAACUGUCGGAAACGUUCGGUCUGCCGUCCGAUUGCCGCGGGUUCGCGGACGCGCAAGAAAAAAUCUGGUGGCGUCUGGUGCCGUUUUCCCGCGGACUGGCCGUUUGGUUUCAGCGAAACGGGUCGCGAUCGUUCGCCGUGUUUCCCGUCUUCCGUCCCGGUCCCAAACCCUUGCGGUACAACGCCACGGCCAGGCCCGGUGCGCCAGCAAAUCUUUACACGUAGGCAAAGAUCAGAAUUGCAUGCCGCCUCUUGUUUUAUUUAUUUUUUUCUUUUAUGAAUAAAUGUAAAUUUUUUGCCGUCGUAGGCUUGUGCCUACGUCGCCUACGCCUAUAACCACGGCCGUGUACGAACACUGUUGCGCGAGGCGAAACCUAUAUGGAAUUCCGUUGCAGCGCCGAGGAUUUCGGAGCCGGUGUAGGUACUGGUGGCGUUAUUUCGACUUGUCGCAAAAGCGCCUACGGUCACGUGGAUCGAACGCACGAAAUUCGGAAUGUCGUUUGCGACGAACGGUGCGUAUUUUUGCGCGGCCACGGAGAGGUUUACGGCGCGAGACGAUGGGAUCGCGGCCACUGCUGCAGUGGAACCGAAACGCAAGCGAUGAUGCAAGAGAAAACGGACGGCCGAAGACGACGCGAACGUCAAUGACCAUAAUGCGGAUCCGUCGAAACAUUCCGGACAUCUGCAGGGACUGGAUCCGGCGUGGUCAAAUACGCGGGCGCUUGUUAUCUCGGCAACUACGGUUCCGCUUCGAAACGUUUUACUUGAUGAUGUCGAACUCGUUGAGGUUGAAGUAGAUCCAGAAUUACGCGGUGACCCUACUUCAGGCCUCCAUAACUUUGCUCGCAUGACUCCUGCGCUAUUUGGACAAUUUUCUUUUGCCCUUGACCAAGACAACGAAUGUAAAGAAUAUGGAGUUCCAAACGCGCCUGAAAUUUUAACAAUCUAUAUUAAUACGAGUAUAUUUCUAAGCUGUAAAAUUACCGCAAUUGCUGGAAUCGCAGUCACUAUUCAGUGAGCUUGUACCGUCGGACUCGGAACCGGACGAAUAUUCAUACAGGAAAUAAUCUCUGGUGUAUGGUGGUGCAUGAUAAUGGUGCCCCGCACCAUGGUGAUUUAAUUGAUAAUGAUGGUGAUGAUGGUCCAUCGCCGGUUAUAUUGAGACGUGGGCAACAAACAAGCGGAAGCCGGUAUGCUACUGCAGAGACUGCCGAAUAAGUUUGCAAGUAUCCAAUAAACCGAGGCGUGCCGGAUAGAGGACGAGUAGUCGCGAUACCACGCCCAUACACCGCCCCAAUAUACACCCUUCCUUCCACCCACAUAUAAGUUUACAAGCUGCAUUAUAUCAAGUACUUAUGUCGUCCAAAAAAAUAUUGAUAAGAAAGUCCAAUAUUAUACGACAGGUUUAACUAAGGUGCUAUAUUUCCCAGAGGGGUAACAGCAGAAAACAAAUCAAUGAUUCGCUUGCUGUUCUUAAGCGUCGCGUCAUGUCGUCAUAAACAACACUGUUCAUAUAAUAUUAUAAAUAAAAUGUAUUUUGUAGUAUUUGUCUAAUUAUGUAACAAUAAUAAAAAUAAAUAUAAAUUAUAAUAUCAUAUUUAAAAUACCAUUACGUUUUUUAUGAAAAUACGCGUGUGGUGUAG
Long non-coding RNA from Aphis gossypii (cotton aphid), 2089 nucleotides. RefSeq lists it as uncharacterized. The transcript is spliced from 5 exons. Lineage: Eukaryota; Metazoa; Arthropoda; Insecta; Hemiptera; Aphididae. The record is from RefSeq and is a predicted model, not a curated record.